This 493-nucleotide ribosomal RNA is filed under the name uncultured bacterium. RNAcentral describes it as "bacterial SSU rRNA". It matches the Rfam family "Bacterial small subunit ribosomal RNA", at positions 903 to 1397 of the family's 1533-position model. The record is from RNAcentral.
AAAUGAAUAGACGGGGGCCCGCACAAGCGGUGGAGCAUGUGGUUUAAUUCGAAGCAACGCGAAGAACCUUACCAGGUCUUGACAUCCUUUGCUAACCUGAGAGAUCAGGCGUUCCCUUCGGGGACAAAGUGACAGGUGGUGCAUGGUUGUCGUCAGCUCGUGUCGUGAGAUGUUGGGUUAAGUCCCGCAACGAGCGCAACCCUUAUAAUUAGUUGCCAGCAUUCAGUUGGGCACUCUAGUUAGACUGCCGGUGACAAACCGGAGGAAGGUGGGGAUGACGUCAAAUCAUCAUGCCCCUUAUGACCUGGGCUACACACGUGCUACAAUGGAUGGUACAACGAGUCGCUAGACCGCGAGGUCAUGCUAAUCUCUUAAAACCAUUCUCAGUUCGGAUUGCAGGCUGCAACUCGCCUGCAUGAAGCUGGAAUCGCUAGUAAUCGCGGAUCAGCACGCCGCGGUGAAUACGUUCCCGGGCCUUGUACACACCGCCCGU